UUAUUCCGAGGUCUACAACAUUAUAUAUGAAAUCACAUAUUGGGGUGUGUGCUAAACCUUCAGGACUCUGGAGGCAAGUGGAGCAGCCCUAAAGAGUCAUGGCAGAACUGUGAGGGGUGCUCUCAGGCAUUUCUUGGUGCAACUCAAGAUGAGGCGGUCGUUGUGAAGAAAUGGACUAAGAGAGUCAGAAAACUCUUUGGACGUUGGUGUUCAACGGUUAGCCAUGGCCAGUGUUGCUUGUUCCUUAGAAGUUGGGUCCUAGGAUCCUCAGGCAUUAUGAAAUAAUGCAUCUUAAGAUCCUCGUCCCAGAUGCGACUUCGCAUGACCACGGUGUCAAGCUACAGAAAUGGAAUUUACAAGUCCUGAUUAAUCCUGGGCUCUCACUAAUAUUGAAAAAGCUACAUCCAGGUAGCAGGGUAACCUCCGUCAUAAUAAAGAAAAACAGAAUUUCAAAAGCUGAUUCUUAUUUUGUAUUUAGACUCCAGGAAGACUUCACAUGCUAUAUGUACCCUCGGUCUAGCUUUUGAAAGACACGGUUUUGUGCACCAUUUCAGGAAAAAGGAUGGGUGACUGAACACAACUGAUUAAUUUUGUGAAUGGAUUCAAGCUUCAAAAAUGCAAAGAAUGGCAUUUUUAUGGAUUAAUUUGGCACAUGGGAUGCUGCUGUAAACUCGUCAAUUAAAUGUUGGUACUUGAA
Molecule: long non-coding RNA, 697 nt
Organism: Eubalaena glacialis (North Atlantic right whale)
Lineage: Eukaryota; Metazoa; Chordata; Mammalia; Artiodactyla; Balaenidae
Exons: 2
Source: RefSeq, a predicted model, not a curated record